Molecule: ribosomal RNA, 253 nt
Filed under: uncultured bacterium
Lineage: Bacteria
Description: partial 16S ribosomal RNA
Rfam family: Bacterial small subunit ribosomal RNA
Source: RNAcentral
UACGGGGGGGGCAAGCGUUGUUCGGAAUUACUGGGCGUAAAGGGCUCGUAGGUGGCCAACUAAGUCAGACGUGAAAUCCCUCGGCUUAACCGGGGAACUGCGUCUGAUACUGGAUGGCUUGAGUUCGGGAGAGGGAUGCGGAAUUCCAGGUGUAGCGGUGAAAUGCGUAGAGAUGCGGAGGAACACCGAUGGCGAAGGCAGCCCCCUGGGCUGACACUGAUGCUCAGGCACGAAAGCGUGGGGAGCAAACAGG